AAAAAGAAAAUAUAAGUGAGAAAAAAGAAAUACUCAAAAGAAAAGAGAAAAUUAAAUAAAUUGAUAAAAUAUAAAAAAUCAACAACAUACUUAAAAAAGAAAAUAAGAAUUUUUUAAAUGAUAUAAUAAAUUGAAAAAAUAGAAAAUAUUAAAACAUGAGUGAAUAAUAGACUAAAAUAUGAUACUUGAAAAAAAAAACUAAUAAAA
RNAcentral lists this long non-coding RNA (207 nucleotides) under Lathyrus oleraceus (garden pea). RNAcentral describes it as "Pisum sativum (pea) long non-coding RNA (PSAT_LNC008260)". Lineage: Eukaryota; Viridiplantae; Streptophyta; Magnoliopsida; Fabales; Fabaceae. The record is from RNAcentral.